GGUUGGAUGGCCGAGCGGUCUAAGGCGCCAGACUAAGGAUCAGCUUCUUCAGUGGAGCAACACUUGCCAGGGUUCACACCCAGCAAUCUGGUCCGAAAGGGCGUGGGUUCGAAUCCCACUCCAAUCA
Non-coding RNA from Mycena polygramma, 127 nucleotides. The record is from the annotation of a GenBank genome assembly. Lineage: Eukaryota; Fungi; Basidiomycota; Agaricomycetes; Agaricales; Mycenaceae.